GUCGGUAAAAGAGUGCGGCAAUCACGGGAAGUACCGCCGGAAAAUCUUCCGUCGAAUCAUCGCCGGCAUCCUAAUUUUCAUUCUAAUCGUGCUGAUAACAAUUCUUCUCAUAUGGGCCAUCCUCCGUCCCAGCAAACCCAGGUUCAUCCUCCAAGACACCACUGUCUACGCUUUCAACGCCUCCACCCCUAACCUCCUCACCUCCAAUUUCCAAGUCACUCUAUCUUCUCGAAACCCCAACGACAGAAUCGGCAUUUACUACGACCGGCUCGACGUUUACGCCACCUACCAGAACCAACAAAUCACCCUCCGAACAGC
Molecule: long non-coding RNA, 318 nt
Filed under: Gossypium barbadense (sea-island cotton)
Lineage: Eukaryota; Viridiplantae; Streptophyta; Magnoliopsida; Malvales; Malvaceae
Description: long non-coding RNA (GBAR_LNC000958)
Source: RNAcentral